UCAAAGGAAAAAAAUUGCUUUCGGGUUUUAANCGGGGNAGAANAAAAGUUGGGGGAAUGAACUUCAAAGUCCUCAUGGGCCCUUAAUGUUCCAAGGGGGCUACAACAACGUGCUACAAUGGGGCGGCACAAAAGGGGCUGCAAUCCCGCGGAGGGGGANNNCUAUCUCAAAAAGCCGCUCUCAGUUCAGAUUGGAGUCUGCAACUCGACUCCAUGAAGGCGGAAUCGCUAGUAAUCGCGGAUCAGCAUGCCGCGGUGAAUACGUUCCCGGGCCUUGUACACACCGCCCCUGAAUCACUAG
RNAcentral lists this ribosomal RNA (300 nucleotides) under uncultured bacterium. RNAcentral describes it as "partial 16S ribosomal RNA". It matches the Rfam family "Bacterial small subunit ribosomal RNA", at positions 993 to 1407 of the family's 1533-position model. The record is from RNAcentral.